This is a small nucleolar RNA of Pteropus vampyrus (large flying fox), 135 nucleotides long. Its record names the gene U8. It matches the Rfam family "U8 small nucleolar RNA". Rfam says of the family: U8 is a member of the C/D class of snoRNA which contain the C (UGAUGA) and D (CUGA) box motifs. U8 is the RNA component of a small complex (the U8 snoRNP) which is required for accumulation of mature large subunit ribosomal RNAs, 5.8S and 28S rRNAs. U8 RNA has been identified in human, mouse, rat and Xenopus. NCBI's taxonomy places the organism in Eukaryota, Metazoa, Chordata, Mammalia, Chiroptera, Pteropodidae. The record is from Ensembl.
UCGUCAGGUGGGAUAAUCCUUACCUGUUCCUCCGUUGGAGGGCAGAUUAGAAUAUGAUGAUUGGAGACCGCAUGAAUCGUGAUUAUCGUUUCUGCGUAAUCAGGGCUUGCAACACUCUGAUUGCUCCUAUCUGAU